AUCGAACGCUGGCGGCAGGCCUAACACAUGCAAGUCGAACGAGUGGCGGACGGGUGAGUAAUGUCUGGGAAACUGCCUGAUGUAGGGGGAUAACUACUGGAAACGGUAGCUAAUACCGCAUACCACCCGUUGUGCCCAGAUGGGAUUAGCGAGUAGGUGGGGUAAAGGCUCACAUAGGCGACGAUCCCUAGCUGGUCUGAGAGGGUGACCAGCCACACUGGAACUGAGACACGGUCCAGACUCCUACGGGAGGCAGCAGGGGGGAAUAUUGCACAAUGGACGCAAGCCUGAUGCAGCCAUGCCGCGUGUGUGAAGAAGGUCUUCGGGUUGUAAAGUACUUUCAGCGGGGAAGCGUUACCCGCAGAAGAAGCACCGGCUAACUCCGUGCCAGCAGCCGCGGUAAUAC
RNAcentral lists this ribosomal RNA (406 nucleotides) under uncultured bacterium. RNAcentral's name for it is "partial 16S ribosomal RNA". It matches the Rfam family "Bacterial small subunit ribosomal RNA", at positions 30 to 526 of the family's 1533-position model. The record is from RNAcentral.